UCUCCCACUUCUUAUAAAAUUCAAGAUCCUCAUCUUUUACUUCGCGCAUCCAUUCAUUCCAUGACUCAGUCAAGCCGUUACUAUUAGCUACUCCUUUAUCACUCAUCUUUUGAAAGAACAAACAUUCAGAAACUAAACUGCAGUGAUCGCAAAUUUUUCGGUUCGAAAUCAUUUCAGGAAGGCUGCGCCUAAAGUUAUGCUGUGCAAGAGAAUUUCUUGUCAUGAUCAACCCUCGAAGUUGGGAGUUACUUGCAACCAAAUUCUUGAUAGUACUAUUUUCCAAAUAGCAUAAUAAUGCCUGAUUAGUAUUGAUACCAUAACGAUCUGAAAUGAGUAAUGUAUAAAGCAAACUUUGAGCAAAAUGGCUAAUAUUGUCGACAUAUCGGCCAGUUUUAAGCUCUAACGGAAGUGUGAGGGUUGACGAAGACUCAGGUUUUUCAGUUAAAACCACCUCAACUGUAGCAUCGAUAUUACCUUUUAAUCCAAAUCUGGGUGACCAUAUGGAUUCCUCAAUAUCGAGAAGCCUUGAAAUGUGAAUACUUUCAUUGUUGUUGUCAUUUUUUUUACUUAUUAAAUAUCUUUCAACAAUAGAUUUAAGAAGGGGAAGCCUCGCAUCAAGUUCCUCUCGAAUUUCAUCGAGCGACAAAUCAGCAAAAUAGAUAUCAGAGAUGUAUGUUUUUAUUGAUGUUUCAAGGUUGAUAUCAACAUUUUCAAGGGCAUCAAUACCUCUGUAUAAUGCGUGUUGAAAAAAAUCAUGUAAAAUGUUUCCAGUUACCAUAGCUUUUGUAGGAGGUCCAUAAAUGCCAACCCUGUCAGAUAUUACGGCUUUCCUCAAACAAGGAAAAGAGCUGGCCACUGCCGUAGCAGACAUUAAAAUUUUCGGAUGUAUGAUAAUAAGUCCUUUAUCGUUGUCAACGAUAGCGGUAUUAUCUUUGUCAAAUGUAGCUUCAACACGGAUAGAAUCCCCUACAAAAAUACUAGUCUCAGUCCAAUCACCGCGUAAAAAUAACUGAUGCAGUAUAUCAUUUGCUUCCAAAAUCAACUUUAAUUGUCGAAAGUGAUUCCCUUCAUGAAAAAUGAAGUCUUCGUGAACUUCUAAUACUGUGUAUUCGGAGGAAAACUCGCACAAUUCACCAGGAGUGCAUCCAUCACACGAAUCAUCCCAAUCAUCGAUAAAGUCGCUAUUGAUAUCCGGCAAUGAAUUACAAGCUUUAUCAAGAGCAAGGUUCACAGGUUCUUCAUUUAUUGUAGCAUCAGAUGCUUUUGUUGCUGAACAAUAAGAUUGCAAAUCACCUCCCACAUGGUUGACCUUAGCUGUCUUUUCUAUGUCCUUUGCAGAAGCAGUUACUGUAGAAUUAGGUAAUUGUGAGUAUUGGCGUUCAAGGGAAUCUAAUGCUGCCAGAUCUUCAGCUUCUAAGGCAAAAUCAUCCUCGUCAAUUUCGGUAUCUGAUCCUUUGAGAAGACAACUGGAAUUUGCAGCAAUUCUUGAUUGCUCAGAUGAUCUUGCAUUACGAAUUAUAGACACCAAGCUAGGGACUUUAUGCAGGUUAUUUCCUUGGUUUUUUACUUCAUCAUACGAUCCGAAGCUUCUACUCUGGUUUUCCGAAACAUUUGAACUCGACAAAUUAUUGUUUAUCAGUGGCUUAUUAUCUGAAGCACAUCGUCGUAAUAGGACAGUUUCAUCCGUAUAUAAUGUAAACACAUCAGAUUUUGAGUUCGUUGACACUGGUUUCAUAUCUAUAAUCGUUGAGUCCGUCGUUUGAUGAUCCAGCAAAUGUUGAGUAGAAGAGCUACGACACAAAUCCUUCGAAGUUUCUUGAAAACAUACUUCUAAAAGUUAAAAUACACGUCUGAAUACAAGAAAAAUCAUACCUGGCAUGUCUUGGCUAUUCAAGUCAGAUUUCCGCGUGAAAGAUUUGUCAGGCUUUAAAUCGUCAGUAAUUUCUUUAUGAGCUUUAGUAAAUGGGGAAAAAGAUGUUGAGGAUUCAUUAAAAGUAUUCUUUCGUUUAAUUGGUAAUGAAGAAUGCUUUUUUUCAGAGAUUUUAGGUGAACUAAUUUCUGUAGAUGCAUUGUACGCAAAAUUUUCCAGCUUCAAUUUAGUUCUCCCAUUUAGCAAAUAGUUUUUCCUGAAAGGAGUUGAAUUAGUUUUUUUUAAAUUACCAUGAUUGUUGUCAGUAGUGGCACAUAUACCUUUCACAGAUGAAGUUGUUUUCGACUGGUCGUUGAACAUUAUUAAUUUACAAAAAAAGGAAGGCAAUAAACAUUAAAAAAUAAAAAAGUUUGUUAUAAUUAUACUCAAAUAACCAGGCUAAAAUUCAACCAGGUAAUGAGCUUUGAAAAGAACGACUAAAACACGUGAAAAAGAAUGAUGAUCAACGAUGUAAAUGCAAAGAAAAAAUAAAUAGAAAUAAAUUAAAAUAAAGCCUUAACGACUGCGCUUAUUCUCAAAAUAAUAGGCAAUGCUCGUAAAAUAGAUAUUUGGAGUAUGGUUGUCGGAGGUUUCAGUUUUAUAGAUACUCGGUUCCCUAACGCCAACAAUGCUAGUUAAUUUAUUUCCUUAGGUUUUCCGCAGUCAUGUUCUCGAUUGAUUUUAAAUAAAAUUACACAUGAAUAUGUGCCAGUAAUCUUUACAAUGAACCUUGUGAAGUCGUUCACAGGUAAAUUGAACUAAAACCAAGUCCGAUGAAAGCAAAAUUAUUGAUUUUCCUUAAUACAUAAUUAAUAAAUAUUAUCUGUAUCGAAAUUCGCUUCAACUCUUCUUAAGUAUAAGCU
RNAcentral lists this long non-coding RNA (2772 nucleotides) under Schizosaccharomyces pombe (fission yeast). Lineage: Eukaryota; Fungi; Ascomycota; Schizosaccharomycetes; Schizosaccharomycetales; Schizosaccharomycetaceae. The record is from RNAcentral.